UUAAUUUUAUUUGGAAAGAAAAAAAGUCACAGAUCAAAGUUUGCGUUCAGCUUCUCCCAAAAAUAAAACACACUGCGUUUUCUACCGAUCUCUCUCUCGAUUCUAGGUUUUGCUCUCUCUCGAUCUCUCUCCCGAUCUCGUUUCCCUCUCAAUUUGGAUCUCGCUUCCGAUCUCGAUUUCUCUCUCUCUUUGGAUCUCGUUCUCACUCUCGAUAACACGUUCUCGUCGAGGUUUUCUAACUUGAUUUUGACAGUAUUGAUUUUGACAAUACUUGAUUUUGAAAGUUAUCUAACUUGAUUAAAGAAACUUUGGGGCAAAAUCUCUUCAUUUUGGGUACCUUGGACACAAGUGAGCAAGUCAAGGCCAUUGUUGUUAAUCGCUGACUUUGUCGACAGAAACCGUAAGCUUUUCUCAGGGAUCAGUGCAUUUUUCCUUAGCCUGAUAUCUUAGUAUGACAAUCCGAGGUAGAGGAGGUACGUAGACGGAGUCAAGAGAGUGGUCGCAAUCAACUUCACUCUUCACCUUUGCGAGGUGUGCAUAUUGACCGGAACAAAAGGCAAAGGUUAGGGAUGGUUGAUGCAUUAAAGCAUAAGCAUAAAUUCACUUAUGAUUUUGAAGAUCUCUAUGAUGAUAUUGAAGAUGAAGAGACGCAAUUAAUCAAGAAGAGAAAUUAUCAACGACAAUUACUCAAGCGCCAAAAAAUUGAUGCAUAUAAUGUAAAAGAAGGUAAAGGAGUGAGUUUUGAAAUUUCCAACAAUAUGGGACAAUCUAGUAGAAGAAUUAUAUACAAUCAAGGGAGAGAGCGUAAUGACCGACCAGAACCUUCUCAGUCUUGCACUAGUCCAGCACCACCACCUCCACGUGCACAAUUCUGCAGAGGUAUUUCUCUACUGCGACUUGUUUAUCAUUAAUGUCAUAAAGUUGCACCAUGACAAUACAUUCAUCAUGUAUACUUUUUCGGUGUAGACUAAAUAUUAUUUGUUUAGUGCUAAAGUUGUUUCCAGUAGCACUAUCUAAUUUAAUAUAUCUACAUUGCUGGACCUGUCUUAGGUAUCUCUUCCACAAAACUUGAACCACAUUGGUCAAGUCACUAAGAUGUGUCUUUAAAGGGAAAAAGAAUCUUGAAAUUCUAUAAACAGUUCUCUUCUGUUUAAUUUCCAACAGUAUAUAAUAGCCAGAGCUUGAUAGAGAAUUUGAGAGCAUAUUUAACUGAGUUUUCAUCAAAUUUAACAGAGGUUAUCCCUCAAGUUUCUUGCCUUUUCUUCAGCAGAAAAUUGUUAUAUACUUGAACUUUGUCAUGUUAGAAACUAUAUUUCAUUCAAAGAUGUGUUUGUGUCUGAUGUUUGUGGUCGACACUAAGGGUCAUGGUCCCAAAGGAAUGAAGGCAGAGGUAUGGGACGGUUUGGUUGACAUUUGAUUGAAACCAGAGUGGAAGAAGAAAUCCGAUGCAAAUCGUUGUAACAGGGCUGCCUUACCUGAUGCAGUGUUGCACACAUGAGGUUCUAUUAACUUAGGUGAACAUAAGAAAAGGAUGGUAAGUUCUGAUGAGAUUUUAUGUGUUUAUAGUUGUCCUGUUUAUCAUCUUAAAAUGUUUCGAAGCAAUAUCUAUUUCAAUUCUUUAAACGCAUAUUUGCCAUGAGCUGCCAAUUUAGAAUAUUUUGGAUGUCUUUAAGUUUUCGGAGUCCUUGAAAAUUAUUUGGAACUCUUCUGAUUGUAAUCAGCAUUCAGUCUUAUGAAGCAUUGGUGUAUUAUGAUAUGAUUUUCAUUAGUGGUUCUCUGGAUCUCUGAUCUGCUACUAAAUUUAGUUUAUUUGUCAUGCUGACUGAGGGAGAAGGAACUGAAGUUAUUCAAAGUUGAUGACUUGUUAUUGUAUUCAAGUGUUUCCUUGAUCUCAGUAUUAGGUUAGUUAAUGGUAUUUCCACUUAUGAUCAAUAGUACUUCAUACAGCUCGUUAAGUAGAUAAACUACUGUCCCUAUGUCAAAUAAGCUUGCCUUCAAGCUGAGUUAUAUACGUGAGAAUGGUAGGGUUAAAACUAUUAGUUGCUUCUCAUACUGUAAUUAGCAUUCAAUCUUCAUAUUUUGAUAUGUUCUCACUAUUAAGUGACCUUAAUUUGGCAAUACUGACUAGUUAGGCAGAACCCAUAAUAUAAUGUUCUUCUUUUGUGUUACUUUUUUGUUUGCUAAAUCUUAAAUAAAUUAAUAUGUUGGAUUUAGGUUUGAAUGGAAAUAAAUGUGUAAGCACUUUUUGAUACUUGAUAUAUUCCUUUGUUUAUGUUUAGGCUGUGGACUCUAUAAUGUAAAUUGUGGUUUAUGAAUACUGUAAGCAGUAUUGUUUGUUUUAGAGAGAUAUUGUCUAAAUAUAACACAUGAUUGGAUCUUUUUAAAUGUGAAUUGCAGGAGGAGGAGUUGAAACAUACAGUUUCGUUUAGAGACGUGUAUGCUCGAGUUCAUAAGAAAAAAGAUGGAGAAUAUGUCUUUCAACGGUCGAAGUUAUUUGUUGAGUCAUAUGACACGGCUAUAGUGGAAAAGUAUGGAGAAAACACAUUUGGCGCCGAUGUUGGAGCCAAUCCUUUCAUUGAUUCAAUCCAUGCCAAAAGCACCCAUGCAAAGUGAAGUACCUAAAAAAACUCAUGCAGAUACAAGGUGAAAGAAUGUUUUCCAAUCUAUUUCGAAAACCGGAGUUAAUAUGGAACCUGAGUUGUGAUUUCUGAAUUGGAAAUAAAAUAGAAUAUUAUUGUAAUGUAUAAUGUUUUAGUGUUGUUAAAUAUAUUAAAAACUUGAUUUUUGAAUAUUAUUGUGAUGUAUAUUGUUUAAGUGUUGUUAAAUAUAUUAAAAAAAUUAAUUUUUUGGGUUAUUUAAUUAUUAGUGUAUUUUUUGAAUAUUAUUGUGAUGUAUAUUGUUUAAG
Molecule: long non-coding RNA, 2905 nt
Organism: Vicia villosa (hairy vetch)
Lineage: Eukaryota; Viridiplantae; Streptophyta; Magnoliopsida; Fabales; Fabaceae
Exons: 6
Source: RefSeq, a predicted model, not a curated record